RNAcentral lists this transfer RNA (74 nucleotides) under Pandoraea pnomenusa 3kgm. RNAcentral's name for it is "tRNA-SeC (TCA) (tRNA-SeC-TCA-2-1)". Lineage: Bacteria; Pseudomonadati; Pseudomonadota; Betaproteobacteria; Burkholderiales; Burkholderiaceae. The record is from RNAcentral.
GCUGCCCGGACUUCAAACCCGGUUGGGGGCGUCAGCCGCUCCCAGGUAGGUUCGACUCCUGCUGCUUUUCGCCA